CGUGUAGGCGGUUCGGUAAGUGGGAUGUGAAAUGCCCGGGCUCACCCCGGGACCUGCAUCCCAUACUGCUGAGCUUGAGUACAGGAGAGGGUGGGGGAAUUCCUGGUGUAGCGGUGAAAUGCGUAGAUAUCAGGAGGAACACCGGUGGCGAAGGCGCCCACCUGGCCUGCUACUGACGCUGAUGCGCGAAAGCUAGGGAGCAAACG
This 206-nucleotide ribosomal RNA is filed under the name uncultured bacterium. RNAcentral's name for it is "partial 16S ribosomal RNA". It matches the Rfam family "Bacterial small subunit ribosomal RNA", at positions 568 to 774 of the family's 1533-position model. The record is from RNAcentral.